CCUACGGGGGGCUGCAGUGAGGAAUAUUGGUCAAUGGGCGGGAGCCUGAACCAGCCAAGUCGCGUGAGGGAAGACUGCACUGAGUAUUGUAAACCUCUUUUGCCAGGGGACAAAGGCGGCCACGGGUGGCCGUAAGAGGGUACCUGGAGAAAAAGCAUCGGCUACCUCCGUGCCAGCAACCGCGGUAAUACGGAGGAUGCGAGCGUUCUCCGGAUUUAUUGGGUUUAAAGGGUGCGCAGGCGGCGUGUCAAGUACGCGGUAAAAUGUCGGGGCUCAACCCCGGCCGGCCGUUGAAACUGGCGUGCUCGAGUGGGAGAGAAGUAUGCGGAAGUCGUGGUGUAGCGGUGAAAUGCAUAGAGAUCACGAAGAACCCCGAUUGCGAAGGCAGCAUACCGGUGCCACACUGACGCUGAGGCACGAAAGCGUGGGUAUCGAACAGGAUUAGAUACCCUAGUAGUC
RNAcentral lists this ribosomal RNA (459 nucleotides) under uncultured bacterium. RNAcentral describes it as "partial 16S ribosomal RNA". It matches the Rfam family "Bacterial small subunit ribosomal RNA", at positions 338 to 795 of the family's 1533-position model. The record is from RNAcentral.